Molecule: ribosomal RNA, 253 nt
Filed under: uncultured bacterium
Lineage: Bacteria
Description: partial 16S ribosomal RNA
Rfam family: Bacterial small subunit ribosomal RNA
Source: RNAcentral
GACGAAGGGGGCUAGCGUUGUUCGGAAUUACUGGGCGUAAAGCGCGUGUAGGCGGUUGCCCAAGUCGGGUGUGAAAGCCUUGAGCUCAACUCAAGAAAUGCACUCGGUACUGGGUGACUAGAGGACCGGAGAGGAUAGUGGAAUUCCCAGUGUAGUGGUGAAAUACGUAGAGAUUGGGAAGAACACCCGUGGCGAAGGCGGUUCUCUGGGACGGUACUGACGCUGAGACGCGAAAGCGUGGGGAGCGAACAGG